CUAGGCCUCCCUGCUCUUCCUCGGACCUUUCAGGUGAGAAACUUUCCAUUGUUGCCUUAUCUUGCGGCAGUCCGCCCAGCCGCCUUGCAGCGACCACAGGUGCGCACAGAUCUGAGGCCCCGAUCUGUUCCACUCUUUGUGCCAAGCGGAGCCGGGGACGCGAACCCCAGCAUGAAACGGCGCCCACAACCACAAGGCCCGGUGUGCGCCCUCUGAAACUGUAGCUCCUGUACCUAAUGGCCUUAGGUCCUUGGAUGAGAAGAUACCCCUAGAGGCUAUUUGGUCCAGCCCUCUCCCUUACAACUAGAUGUGCAUGACCAUGAUGGAAGGAAAGGCAUGUCCUGAGUCCUUUGAAGACUGCCACAGGGCAAGAAUUCUCUGGGCAUGGAGUCUCUCCCGUAUACCACAGAGUUUCUUUGUUGCUGAAUCCAUCAGGUUUGCAUGGAAAACAAGCCUUCCUGGUGGAUGUUUUCACAGCUUAUGUGAGAAUUAGCAAAUACCAGAUCUCCACUUACCUGCUUGGAGUUCCCCCCAUCACCACACGAUUCCUUGCAGGUUGGGUAAGCAUCCUUCUUCCCUAGUUUCUCUUCUAAACUCCAAGUGCUCUUUGGGAAGGGGAACCGGCAGUCCUCCCAUUGC
This 639-nucleotide long non-coding RNA is filed under the name Vulpes vulpes (red fox). Its description in RNAcentral is "lncRNA (ENSVVUG00000021405.1)". Lineage: Eukaryota; Metazoa; Chordata; Mammalia; Carnivora; Canidae. The record is from RNAcentral.